Molecule: ribosomal RNA, 1522 nt
Filed under: Acinetobacter sp. 796380-1375
Lineage: Bacteria; Pseudomonadati; Pseudomonadota; Gammaproteobacteria; Moraxellales; Moraxellaceae
Description: bacterial SSU rRNA
Rfam family: Bacterial small subunit ribosomal RNA
Source: RNAcentral
GUUUGAUCAUGGCUCAGAUUGAACGCUGGCGGCAGGCUUAACACAUGCAAGUCGAGCGGGGGAAGGUAGCUUGCUACCGGACCUAGCGGCGGACGGGUGAGUAAUGCUUAGGAAUCUGCCUAUUAGUGGGGGACAACAUCUCGAAAGGGAUGCUAAUACCGCAUACGUCCUACGGGAGAAAGCAGGGGAUCUUCGGACCUUGCGCUAAUAGAUGAGCCUAAGUCGGAUUAGCUAGUUGGUGGGGUAAAGGCCUACCAAGGCGACGAUCUGUAGCGGGUCUGAGAGGAUGAUCCGCCACACUGGGACUGAGACACGGCCCAGACUCCUACGGGAGGCAGCAGUGGGGAAUAUUGGACAAUGGGCGCAAGCCUGAUCCAGCCAUGCCGCGUGUGUGAAGAAGGCCUUAUGGUUGUAAAGCACUUUAAGCGAGGAGGAGGCUACUUUAGAUAAUACCUAGAGAUAGUGGACGUUACUCGCAGAAUAAGCACCGGCUAACUCUGUGCCAGCAGCCGCGGUAAUACAGAGGGUGCAAGCGUUAAUCGGAUUUACUGGGCGUAAAGCGCGCGUAGGCGGCUAAUUAAGUCAAAUGUGAAAUCCCCGAGCUUAACUUGGGAAUUGCAUUCGAUACUGGUUAGCUAGAGUGUGGGAGAGGAUGGUAGAAUUCCAGGUGUAGCGGUGAAAUGCGUAGAGAUCUGGAGGAAUACCGAUGGCGAAGGCAGCCAUCUGGCCUAACACUGACGCUGAGGUGCGAAAGCAUGGGGAGCAAACAGGAUUAGAUACCCUGGUAGUCCAUGCCGUAAACGAUGUCUACUAGCCGUUGGGGCCUUUGAGGCUUUAGUGGCGCAGCUAACGCGAUAAGUAGACCGCCUGGGGAGUACGGUCGCAAGACUAAAACUCAAAUGAAUUGACGGGGGCCCGCACAAGCGGUGGAGCAUGUGGUUUAAUUCGAUGCAACGCGAAGAACCUUACCUGGCCUUGACAUAGUAAGAACUUUCCAGAGAUGGAUUGGUGCCUUCGGGAACUUACAUACAGGUGCUGCAUGGCUGUCGUCAGCUCGUGUCGUGAGAUGUUGGGUUAAGUCCCGCAACGAGCGCAACCCUUUUCCUUAUUUGCCAGCGAGUAAUGUCGGGAACUUUAAGGAUACUGCCAGUGACAAACUGGAGGAAGGCGGGGACGACGUCAAGUCAUCAUGGCCCUUACGGCCAGGGCUACACACGUGCUACAAUGGUCGGUACAAAGGGUUGCUACACAGCGAUGUGAUGCUAAUCUCAAAAAGCCGAUCGUAGUCCGGAUUGGAGUCUGCAACUCGACUCCAUGAAGUCGGAAUCGCUAGUAAUCGUGGAUCAGAAUGCCGCGGUUAAUACGUUCCCGGGCCUUGUACACACCGCCCGUCACACCAUGGGAGUUUGUUGCACCAGAAGUAGCUAGCCUAACUGCAAAGAGGGCGGUUACCACGGUGUGGCCGAUGACUGGGGUGAAGUCGUAACAAGGUAGCCGUAGGGGAACCUGCGGCUGGAUCACC